UUUUAUGGAGAGUUUGAUCCUGGCUCAGGAUGAACGCUGGCGGCGUGCCUAAUACAUGCAAGUCGAGCGAACGGACGAGAAGCUUGCUUCUCUGAUGUUAGCGGCGGACGGGUGAGUAACACGUGGAUAACCUACCUAUAAGACUGGGAUAACUUCGGGAAACCGGAGCUAAUACCGGAUAAUAUUUUGAACCGCAUGGUUCAAAAGUGAAAGACGGUCUUGCUGUCACUUAUAGAUGGAUCCGCGCUGCAUUAGCUAGUUGGUAAGGUAACGGCUUACCAAGGCAACGAUGCAUAGCCGACCUGAGAGGGUGAUCGGCCACACUGGAACUGAGACACGGUCCAGACUCCUACGGGAGGCAGCAGUAGGGAAUCUUCCG
This 379-nucleotide ribosomal RNA is filed under the name Staphylococcus aureus. RNAcentral describes it as "bacterial SSU rRNA". It matches the Rfam family "Bacterial small subunit ribosomal RNA", at positions 1 to 368 of the family's 1533-position model. The record is from RNAcentral. Lineage: Bacteria; Bacillati; Bacillota; Bacilli; Caryophanales; Staphylococcaceae.